This 111-nucleotide ribosomal RNA is filed under the name Pteropus alecto (black flying fox). The record is from RNAcentral. Lineage: Eukaryota; Metazoa; Chordata; Mammalia; Chiroptera; Pteropodidae.
GUCUACGGUCAUGCUACCCUGAACAAGCCCAAUCCCGUCUGAUCUCAGAAGCUAAGCAGGGUUGGGCCUGGGAGUACUUGGACCACCUAGGAAUACCAGGUGCUGUAAGUG